UACAGGGGGUGCUAGCGUUGUUCGGAAUUACUGGGCGUAAAGGGCGCGUAGGCGGCUCAAUAAGUCUGUUGUGAAAUCCCGGGGCUUAACUCCGGACGUGCAGUGGAAACUAUUGGGCUUGAGUGUAGUAGAGGUUGGUGGAAUUCCCAGUGUAGAGGUGAAAUUCGUAGAUAUUGGGAGGAACACCGGUGGCGAAGGCGGCCAACUGGGUUACAACUGACGCUGAGGCGCGAAAGCGUGGGGAUCAAACAGG
This 253-nucleotide ribosomal RNA is filed under the name uncultured prokaryote. RNAcentral's name for it is "partial 16S ribosomal RNA". It matches the Rfam family "Bacterial small subunit ribosomal RNA", at positions 524 to 776 of the family's 1533-position model. The record is from RNAcentral.